RNAcentral lists this ribosomal RNA (254 nucleotides) under uncultured bacterium. RNAcentral's name for it is "partial 16S ribosomal RNA". It matches the Rfam family "Bacterial small subunit ribosomal RNA", at positions 524 to 776 of the family's 1533-position model. The record is from RNAcentral.
UACGGGGGGGGCAAGCGUUGUUCGGAAUUACUGGGCGUAAAGGGCUCGUAGGCGGCCAACUAAGUCGGAUGUGAAAUCCCCAGGCUCAACCUGGGAACUGCAUCCGAUACUGGAUGGCUUGAAUUCGGGAGAGGGAUGCAGAAUUCCAGGUGUAGCGGUGAAAUGCGUAGAUAUCUGGGAGGAAUACCGGUGGCGAAGGCGGCAUCCUGGACCGACAUUGACGCUGUGGCGCGAAAGCUAGGGGAGCGAACGGG